Molecule: ribosomal RNA, 935 nt
Filed under: Syntrophaceae bacterium enrichment culture clone L35B_52
Lineage: Bacteria; Pseudomonadati; Thermodesulfobacteriota; Syntrophia; Syntrophales; Syntrophaceae
Description: bacterial SSU rRNA
Rfam family: Bacterial small subunit ribosomal RNA
Source: RNAcentral
AGAGUUUGAUCAUGGCUCAGAACAAACGCUGGCGGCGUGCUUAACACAUGCAAGUCGUACGAGAAAGUCCGCUUCGGCGGAUGAGUAAAGUGGCGCACGGGUGCGUAACACGUGGGUAAUCUGCCCUUCAGUGGGGAAUAACUCGCCGAAAGGCGGGCUAAUACCGCAUAAUACCGUUUCCACCCCGGUGGGACGGUCAAAGACAGCCUCUGUUUACAAGCUGUCGCUGAAGGAUGAGCCCGCGGCCUAUCAGCUAGUUGGUGGGGUAAUGGCUCACCAAGGCUGUGACGGGUAGCUGGUCUGAGAGGAUGGCCAGCCACACUGGAACUGAGACACGGUCCAGACUCCUACGGGAGGCAGCAGUGGGGAAUCUUGGGCAAUGGGGGCAACCCUGACCCAGCGACGCCGCGUGAGUGAGGAAGGUCUUCGGAUCGUAAAGCUCUGUCGGAUGGGAAGAAAUGUGUGGAAGUGAACAGCUUCCAUGCUUGACGGUACCAUCAGAGGAAGCACCGGCUAACUCCGUGCCAGCAGCCGCGGUAAUACGGGGGGUGCAAGCGUUGUUCGGAAUCAUUGGGCGUAAAGGGCGUGUAGGCGGCUGGAUAAGUCAGAUGUGAAAUCCCUGGGCUUAACCCAGGAAGUGCAUUUGAAACUGUCCGGCUUGAGUGAGGGAGAGGAAAGUGGAAUUCCUGGUGUAGAGGUGAAAUUCGUAGAUAUCAGGAGGAACACCGGUGGCGAAGGCGACUUUCUGGCCCUAUACUGACGCUGAGACGCGAAAGCGUGGGGAGCAAACAGGAUUAGAUACCCUGAUAGUCCACGCUGUAAACGAUGUUCACUAGGUGUUGGGGGGUAUUGACCCCCUCAGUGCCGUAGCUAACGCAUUAAGUGAACCGCCUGGGGAGUACGGUCGCAAGACUAAAACUCAAAGGAAUUGACGG